RNAcentral lists this transfer RNA (72 nucleotides) under Marmota monax (woodchuck). Its description in RNAcentral is "tRNA.Ala". The record is from RNAcentral. Lineage: Eukaryota; Metazoa; Chordata; Mammalia; Rodentia; Sciuridae.
CUGGGGACAUAGCUCAGGGGGUAGAGUGUUUGCCUUGCAUGCACAAUGCCCUGUGUUCAAUCCCCAGUGAGA